RNAcentral lists this ribosomal RNA (497 nucleotides) under uncultured bacterium. RNAcentral describes it as "partial 16S ribosomal RNA". It matches the Rfam family "Bacterial small subunit ribosomal RNA", at positions 28 to 507 of the family's 1533-position model. The record is from RNAcentral.
GAUGAACGCUGGCGGCGUGCCUAAUACAUGCAAGUCGAGCGAACGGACGAGAAGCUUGCUUCUCUGACGUUAGCGGCGGACGGGUGAGUAACACGUGGAUAACCUACCUAUAAGACUGGGAUAACUUCGGGAAACCGGAGCUAAUACCGGAUGAUAUUUUGAACCGCAUGGUUCAAUAGUGAAAGACGGUCUUGCUGUCACUUAUAGAUGGAUCCGCGCUGCAUUAGCUAGUUGGUAAGGUAACGGCUUACCAAGGCAACGAUGCAUAGCCGACCUGAGAGGGUGAUCGGCCACACUGGAACUGAGACACGGUCCAGACUCCUACGGGAGGCAGCAGUAGGGAAUCUUCCGCAAUGGGCGAAAGCCUGACGGAGCAACGCCGCGUGAGUGAUGAAGGUCUUCGGAUCGUAAAACUCUGUUAUUAGGGAAGAACAAAUGUGUAAGUAACUAUGCACGUCUUGACGGUACCUAAUCAGAAAGCCACGGCUAACUACGUG